ACAGUUUUGAUUCUGUCCGGCGCCUCUAAAUCUCCAAGAAAAUAAAAUAAUAAUAAAAAAAAGUUUCUGUAGUCUGUAUCGGAAGUUUAAAUUUGAAGCUUUGUUGUCGUUUAAAUUUUUAUCAUGAAGGAAAACAGAAAACAUUAAAUUUAUCUCACCACGUCAUACACAGACUCAGCGAUUCACCAUCGCCACUACACCAUCAACACCACCGUUACCAGCUAAAUUAUCACCACGACACAGCCAUACUGCAGUGGAAGAUGAGUAGGGUUAACUACAUUGAGCACAUUUUGGUACCUUUUUGUUUAUCCACUCUCAAUUUUGGCUAACCAUACAACUAAAGUUCAGGUAUUGGUCCAGGUUUACUUAAUUCUUCGGAUUCUUGCAAAAUUCAGCAAUUGUGUUUCCUCUUAUUGGGAUGGAUAGGUCAGGCAAUGAUAUAACCAAGAUAUCACUAGCAUGUAGCUUCCUUCGAUAGAUCAAGUGCAGGAGUUUGACUCAAAGAUUAGUUGUUUAAUGAAGAACACACUACCUCAUCCCCGUUGAAGUCCUAUACUAAUCGAGUUAGAAAGACAAAGGCAUGCUCAACUACAGGUCCACCGAGUUUUGACCAAACAAAAACGUAAUAAUGUGACUGAAAAUGAAAAGGAAGUACAUCUACAAGGACGUCGCAAUGAUCAUAAUUCAAUGACUGAAAUUGAGAAGGAUGCAAAUCUACAAAGACGUCGAAAUGUUUAUACGAAGAAAACAAGAGGUGGUGACGA
Long non-coding RNA from Papaver somniferum (opium poppy), 764 nucleotides. RefSeq lists it as uncharacterized. Lineage: Eukaryota; Viridiplantae; Streptophyta; Magnoliopsida; Ranunculales; Papaveraceae. The transcript is spliced from 3 exons. The record is from RefSeq and is a predicted model, not a curated record.